Long non-coding RNA from Orcinus orca (killer whale), 376 nucleotides. RefSeq lists it as uncharacterized. The transcript is spliced from 3 exons. Lineage: Eukaryota; Metazoa; Chordata; Mammalia; Artiodactyla; Delphinidae. The record is from RefSeq and is a predicted model, not a curated record.
UGUAACAUUCUUUGUUAUGCAAUAGUCUGGCAACGUUCUCUUCACAACAGCAACAAAAAAUUCAACUUCUGAUAACCAUUAGAAUCAAGUUUGUCUUCUAUCUAACCAUUGAAAAAUUUGUAUCCUCUGACACUUCUGUGCUACUCAUGGUGCAUAAUUAUUGAUGAUUGCAGUGAUGACCGAGAGAGACCCUGGAGGAUCUUAAGACACUUUAAUUCUUCAUUUCCCAGAGACUGACCCCAUUGUAGAAGUGCAGACAGCUCAAGAACGUUAAGAAAAAAGGAACUGCCAAUUGCUGUAAAUUACAAGCUGCCUUGACGAAGAGAAUGCUAAUCCUUUGGGGGCUUAGGAAGAGACCACCAAUCAUGUUUCUGAG